CAGAUGCUAAUACCGGAUAACAACACUAGACGCAUGUCUAGAGUUUGAAAAGAUGGUUCUGCUAUCACUCUUGGAUGGACCUGCGGUGCAUUAGCUAGUUGGUAAGGUAACGGCUUACCAAGGCAAUGAUGCAUAGCCGAGUUGAGAGACUGAUCGGCCACAUUGGGACUGAGACACGGCCCAAACUCCUACGGGAGGCAGCAGUAGGGAAUCUUCCACAAUGGACGAAAGUCUGAUGGAGCAACGCCGCGUGAGUGAAGAAGGGUUUCGGCUCGUAAAGCUCUGUUGUUGGAGAAGAACGUGCGUGAGAGUAACUGUUCACGCAGUGACGGUAUCCAACCAGAAAGUCACGGCUAACUACGUGCCAGCAGCCGCGGUAAUACGUAGGUGGCAAGCGUUGUCCGGAUUUAUUGGGCGUAAAGCGAGUGCAGGCGGUUCAAUAAGUCUGAUGUGAAAGCCUUCGGCUCAACCGGAGAAUUGCAUCAGAAACUGUUGAACUUGAGUGCAGAAGAGGAGAGUGGAACUCCAUGUGUAGCGGUGGAAUGCGUAGAUAUAUGGAAGAACACCAGUGGCGAAGGCGGCUCUCUGGUCUGCAACUGACGCUGAGGCUCGAAAGCAUGGGUAGCGAACAGGAUUAGAUACUCUGGUAGUCCAUGCCGUAAACGAUGAGUGAUAAGUGUUGGGAGGUUUCCGCCUCUCAGUGCUGCAGCUAACGCAUUAAGCACUCCGCCUGGGGAGUACGACCGCAAGGUUGAAACUCAAAGGAAUUGACGGGGGCCCGCACAGGCGGUGGAGCAUGUGGUUUAAUUUGAAGCAACGCGAAGAACCUUACCAGGUCUUGACAUCCAGUGCAAACCUAAGAGAUUAGGUGUUCCCUUCGGGGACGCUGAGACAGGUGGUGCAUGGCUGUCGUCAGCUCGCGUCGUGAGAUGUUGGGUUAAGUCCCGCAACGAGCGCAACCCUUGUCAUUAGUUGCCAUCAUUAAGUUGGGCACUCUAAUGAGACUGCCGGUGACAAACCGGAGGAAGGUGGGGAUGACGUCAAGUCAUCAUGCCCCUUAUGACCUGGGCUACACACGUGCUACAAUGGACGGUACAACGAGAAGCGAACCUGCGAAGGCAAGCGGAUCUCUUAAAGCUGUUCUCAGUUCGGACUGUAGGCUGCAACUCGCCUACACGAAGCUGGAAUCGCUAGUAAUCGCGGAUCAGCACGCCGCGGUGAAUACGUUCCCGGGCCUUGCACACACCGCCCGUCA
Molecule: ribosomal RNA, 1255 nt
Filed under: uncultured bacterium
Lineage: Bacteria
Description: bacterial SSU rRNA
Rfam family: Bacterial small subunit ribosomal RNA
Source: RNAcentral